GUUCCUUCAAGAACCUCCGAUAAAAUUGGAACAAUACAAAAGAUUAAUAUGACCUUUACGCAAGGAUGACUCGCACAAAUCGUAAAAUGGUCUAAAUAUUU
This is a small nuclear RNA of Trifolium pratense (red clover), 101 nucleotides long. NCBI's taxonomy places the organism in Eukaryota, Viridiplantae, Streptophyta, Magnoliopsida, Fabales, Fabaceae. The record is from RefSeq and is a predicted model, not a curated record.